Fundulus heteroclitus (mummichog) is the source of this 1368-nucleotide long non-coding RNA. RefSeq lists it as uncharacterized. The transcript has 4 exons. Lineage: Eukaryota; Metazoa; Chordata; Actinopteri; Cyprinodontiformes; Fundulidae. The record is from RefSeq and is a predicted model, not a curated record.
GGGAGGUUCCUAAUGGAGCAGAUAAACAAACUGUGUUGUCUCUGCCAAUCCGGUUUCUCUGCUCACUUUCACAUUUGUACGACUCCGAUGUUGCUCCAGAAAAGUCAUGGAAGCAGUAAUGUGUGUCAGAAAUGGCAGAGCGGCUUUUACUGGAACCAUAAAAGGCCUGCUUCUGCUUUGCACUCUGCUCAGUCUGGUCUGCUUCACAAGGUCCCAUUUUGACAAGGAACAACUGAACCAGUUAAAGGAAAGCCAGCAGCAUGUAAAGGAAGAACUCCAGGAAAUGAAGGAUAAGCAAAAGUACACAAUUGAACCCUUCUUACACUUGAUGAAUCACUACAGCAAAUCAAUGGAUUCGCUGGCAGCAAUGAUGAAGAAAUAUACGGGGAAACUUCCUGAUCAUUUUCUGGUAUUGGACCAAUUGGUGAACCAUGCCAAGGAUUCUGUUGAUAAAAAGAAGUCUUAUGUCGAAAAGAAGGAGUUAGAUGUCAAGAUAGAGAACCUUGAAGAGGACAUAAGACGAACAGACUCGUUAAUUAAUUUGUUGGAAGAGCAGGAAGCUGAAUUAUAAUUUCUCCAAGCAAGAGGGCAUAUGAUCAUCUAUUUUACAUGUCUAUGAAGUUGUGCCUGUUUUUAUCUUUGAAAUCUGAAUCCACAAACCUUUCUUGAAUAAUUUAAAAUUCAACUAAAGAGUUAAGAGAAAUUUACAUCAUGUUGUAUUUGAAAAAUGUUUGUUAACCUCUUAAAAGAUAGAGUCACAAGUAAAAGGCAUUCUAGUCAGUGGGGAAUUUCCCACCAGCAUGGAGCUUCAAUAAACAGCUAACACCGAAGCUAACUGGAUACAUAAACACUGGAGGUGCACACACACACACACACACACACACACACACACACACAUAGAAGACACAAAACACAAGUCCAUCUCCAUGCACCCCGUUACCCCACACGUGGGUUACUAGUAACAUUUGCUAGAUCAACAGAGCUGGUCAAAAGAGGUGUCAAUCAAAGGAGGACCAUCUUGAAACCAGAAUUUUAAAAAUAUAGGUCUUCAGUAUGAACUCUUGGAAAUCAGAUUUUUUUUCAUAUUUAAAAUAUGGUAUUGAUAAAAAAAAAAAUUCCUAGAAUAUCAACAAAUUAAAUCUUUAAUAAGAAAUGAAUUUAAGGUCAUUGAAGGUUGUUGGUUUACAAAUUCCAAUAAAUGUAUUUGAGUUCCUGGAUCUAAAACUCCCAAAAUUGAAUUAUACAGGACACUGUAUAAACUAGAUCAGGGAUUCCCAAACUGUGGCACCCCCAGGGGUGCGCGAGCUGCCACUAGUGGGUGUGCGAGAGGAAAAAUGUAAUGGCAGUCUGACAGUGUUUUUCCCCACA